Molecule: ribosomal RNA, 253 nt
Filed under: uncultured bacterium
Lineage: Bacteria
Description: partial 16S ribosomal RNA
Rfam family: Bacterial small subunit ribosomal RNA
Source: RNAcentral
UACGUAGGUGGCAAGCGUUAUCCGGAAUUAUUGGGCGUAAAGCGCGCGCAGGCGGUUUCUUAAGUCUGAUGUGAAAGCCCACGGCUCAACCGUGGAGGGUCAUUGGAAACUGGGGAACUUGAGUGCAGAAGAGAAAAGCGGAAUUCCACGUGUAGCGGUGAAAUGCGUAGAGAUGUGGAGGAACACCAGUGGCGAAGGCGGCAUCCUGGACCGGUAUUGACGCUGAGGCGCGAAAGCCAGGGGAGCAAACGGG